Molecule: ribosomal RNA, 253 nt
Filed under: uncultured bacterium
Lineage: Bacteria
Description: partial 16S ribosomal RNA
Rfam family: Bacterial small subunit ribosomal RNA
Source: RNAcentral
UACGUAGGGUGCGAGCGUUGUCCGGAAUUAUUGGGCGUAAAGGGCUCGUAGGCGGUCUGUUGCGUCGGGAGUGAAAACUCAGGGCUUAACCCUGAGCCUGCUUCCGAUACGGGCAGACUAGAGGUAUGCAGGGGAGAACGGAAUUCCUGGUGUAGCGGUGAAAUGCGCAGAUAUCAGGAGGAACACCGGUGGCGAAGGCGGUUCUCUGGGCAUUACCUGACGCUGAGGAGCGAAAGCUAGGGGAGCGAACGGG